UACAGAGGAUGCAAGCGUUAUCCGGAAUGAUUGGGCGUAAAGCGUCUGUAGGUGGCUUUUUAAGCCCGCCGUCAAAUCCCAGGGCUCAACUCUGGACAGGCGGUGGAUACGGGCAUCACUAGAGUUCGGCAGGGGAGACUGGAAUUCCUGGUGUAGCGGUGAAAUGCGCAGAUAUCAGGAGGAACACCGGUGGCGAAGGCGGGUCUCUGGGCCGAUACUGACGCUGAGGAGCGAAAGCAUGGGUAGCGAACAGG
RNAcentral lists this ribosomal RNA (254 nucleotides) under uncultured bacterium. RNAcentral's name for it is "partial 16S ribosomal RNA". It matches the Rfam family "Bacterial small subunit ribosomal RNA", at positions 524 to 776 of the family's 1533-position model. The record is from RNAcentral.